CCACAAUCCAUUAAUGCACUCAUUUUUUAACAGAAAGUUUUACUCAGAAAUUCUAGUAGGUAUAGUUCUAUAAGCUAGGUCUGGUAAUAUAUAUUUCUUAUUGAUAUAAAUCAGCAUAGCUUCUCUGAAGGUAUAUCUGUGUUGAUUUAUGUUUUAAUGUCUACGCUGUGAUUUUUAAUUAUGCCUUUUAACUUUAGUUGCAGGAAUUGAAAAACAAAACAUCUUCUUGAAAACAUUAUGGUUGGAAUUAGUAAUGCAAAGGCACGGAAAAGUUUCAUCUCUAACCUCAUGUGUCAGUAGCAAAAUCUGGAAGGAAGUUUGAGGUUUUCGUGUCUCCAUUCUGUUUACUGCUGAUAAGUGUAUCAGGUACCUUGAACAAAUGGCUGACUUC
This 391-nucleotide long non-coding RNA is filed under the name Anas platyrhynchos platyrhynchos (common mallard). RNAcentral describes it as "lncRNA (ENSAPLG00000028991.1)". Lineage: Eukaryota; Metazoa; Chordata; Aves; Anseriformes; Anatidae. The record is from RNAcentral.